AGAGUUUGAUCCUGGCUCAGAUUGAACGCUGGCGGCAUGCCUUACACAUGCAAGUCGAACGGCAGCACGGGGGGCAACCCUGGUGGCGAGUGGCGAACGGGUGAGUAACAUAUCGGAACAUACCCUAGAGUGGGGAUAACGUAGCGAAAGUUACGCUAAUACCGCAUACGAUCUAAGGAUGAAAGUGGGGGAUCUUCGGACCUCAUGCUCAUGGAGUGGCCGAUAUCUGAUUAGCUAGUUGGUGAGGUAAAGGCUCACCAAGGCGACGAUCAGUAGCUGGUUUGAGAGAACGACCAGCCACACUGGAACUGAGACACGGUCCAGACUCCUACGGGAGGCAGCAGUGGGGAAUUUUGGACAAUGGGGGCAACCCUGAUCCAGCAAUGCCGCGUGAGUGAAGAAGGCCUUCGGGUUGUAAAGCUCUUUUGUCAGGGAAGAAACGGUGAGUUCUAAUAAAGCUUGCUAAUGACGGUACCUGGAGAAUAAGCACCGGCUAACUACGUG
This 504-nucleotide ribosomal RNA is filed under the name uncultured bacterium. RNAcentral's name for it is "bacterial SSU rRNA". It matches the Rfam family "Bacterial small subunit ribosomal RNA", at positions 8 to 507 of the family's 1533-position model. The record is from RNAcentral.